This 492-nucleotide ribosomal RNA is filed under the name uncultured bacterium. RNAcentral's name for it is "partial 16S ribosomal RNA". It matches the Rfam family "Bacterial small subunit ribosomal RNA", at positions 29 to 507 of the family's 1533-position model. The record is from RNAcentral.
AGUGAACGCUGGCGGUAGGCCUAACACAUGCCAGUCGAACGGAAGCACAGUAAGAUCUUGCUCUUACGGGUGGCGAGUGGCGGACGGGUGAGGAAUACAUCGGAAUCUACUUUUUCGUGGGGGAUAACGUAGGGAAACUUACGCUAAUACCGCAUACGACCUACGGGUGAAAGCAGUGGAUCUUCGGACCUUGCGCGUUUGAAUGAGCUGAUGUCGGAUUAGCUAGUUGGCGGGGUAAAGGCCCACCAAGGCGACGAUGCGUAGCUGGUCUGAGAGGAUGAUCAGCCACACUGGAACUGAGACACGGUCCAGACUCCUACGGGAGGCAGCAGUAGGGAAUAUUGGACAAUGGGCGAAAGCCUGAUCCAGCAAUACCGCGUGAGUGAAGAAGGCCUUCGGGUUGUAAAGCUCUUUUGUUGGGGAAGAAAAGCAGUAGGUUAAUACACCGCUGUUCUGACGGUACCCAAAGAGAAAGCAACGGCUAACUUCGUG